RNAcentral lists this ribosomal RNA (1470 nucleotides) under uncultured Bordetella sp. RNAcentral's name for it is "partial 16S-23S ribosomal RNA intergenic spacer". It matches the Rfam family "Bacterial small subunit ribosomal RNA". Lineage: Bacteria; Pseudomonadati; Pseudomonadota; Betaproteobacteria; Burkholderiales; Alcaligenaceae. The record is from RNAcentral.
UGAGCAAUUUGCAGUGAAGAGUUCGACUGUUGGCUCAGAUUGAACGCUGGCGGGAUGCUUUACACAUGCAAGUCGAACGCAGCAGCACGGACUUCGGUCUGGUGGAAGAGAAGGAACGGUGAGUAAUGUAUCGGAACGUGCCUAGUAGCGGGGAUAAAUUCAUGGCGGAAAGGUAGCUAAUACUGCAUACGUCUUCUCGGGGAAAGCGGGGACCUUCGGCCUGUGCACUAUUAGAGUAGCAGAUAAUGGAUUAGCUAGUUGGUGGGCAACGGCUCACUAUAAGGAUGAUCUGGUAGCUGGUUUGAGAGGGAUGACCAGCCACACUGACCGGGAGACAUCGGCCCAGACUCCCAUGGGAGGUAGUAGGGGAAUUUUGACAAUGGGGGAAACCCCGAUCCAGCCGUCCGGUGUGUGCGAUGAAGGCCUUCGGGUUGUAAAGCACUUUUGCAGGAAAGAAACGGCAUUGGAUAAUACCCCGCAACUGAUUUGUACUCGCAGAAUAAGCACCGGCUAACUACGUGCCAGCAGCUUGCAAUACGUAGGGUGCAAGUUAAUCGAAUUACUGGGCGUAAAGGUGUAGUGUUAGUUCGAAAGAAAGAUGUGAAACUUGUUUUUAACUUUGAACCGCAUUUUUAACUACCGAGCUAGAGGGUUAGAGGGAGGUGAAAUUCUGCGUGUAGUAUGAAAUGCGUAGAUAUGGAGGAAAUAUCAGAUGGCGAAGGCAGCUUCAGAUAACACUGACGCUCAUGCACGAAAGCGUGGAUAACAGGAUUAUUAAUUCUGUAGUCCACGCCCCAAACGAUGACCAGCUGUUGGGGCCUUUCGGCCUGGCAGCGCAGUGCUAACGCGUGAAGUUGACUGCCUGGGGGAGUACGGUCGCAAGAUUAAAACCUGUGAAUUGACGACCCGCACAAGCGGUGGAUGAUGAUUAUCGGAUGCAACGCGAAAACCUUACCUACCCUUGACAUGUUCGAAUCCUGAAGAGAUUUGGGAGUGCUCGCAAGAGAACCGGAACACAGGUGCUGCAUGGCUGUCGUCAGCUCGUGUCAGAGAUGUUGGGUUAAGUCCCGCAACGAGCGUAACUCAUUAGUUGCUACGAAAGGUACCCCACGACCGCCGGUGACAAACCGGAGGAAGGUGGGGAUGACGUCAAGUCCUCAUGGCCCUUGCGGCAGGGCUUUCACACGUGUCAUACAAUGGGAGCCGGGACAGAGGGUCGCCGACCCGCGAGGGGGGAGCCAAUCCCAGAAACCCGAUCGUAGUCCGGAUCGCAGUCUGCAACUCGACUGCGUGAAGUCGGAAUCGCUAGUAAUCGCGGAUCGGGCAUGUCGCGGUGAAUACGUUCCCGGGUCUUGUACACACCGCCCGUCACACCAUGGGAGUGGGUUUUACCAGAAGUAGUUAGCCUAACCGUAUGAGGGCGAUUACCACGGUAGGAUUCAUGACCGGGGUGAAGUCGUAAUGCUGCAG